AUUGAACGCUGGCGGCAGGCCUAACACAUGCAAGUCGAACGAGUGGCGGACGGGUGAGUAAUGUCUGGGAAACUGCCUGAUGGAGGGGGAUAACUACUGGAAAAGGUAGCUAAUACCGCAUACCAUCGGAUGUGCCCAGAUGGGAUUAGCUAGUAGGUGGGGUAAAGGCUCACCUAGGAGACGAUCCCUAGCUGGUGUGAGAGGAUGACCAGGCGCACUGGAACUGAGACACGGUCCAGACUCCCAGGCGAGGCAGGAGUGGGGAAUAUUGCACAAUGGGCGCAAGCCUGAUGCAUCGAUGCCGCGUGGAUGAAUAAGGCCUUGGGGUUUUAAGGUACUUUCAGCGGGGAGGCGUUACCCGCAGAAGAAGCACCGGCUAACUCCGUGCCAGCAGCCGCGGUAAUAC
This 406-nucleotide ribosomal RNA is filed under the name uncultured bacterium. Its description in RNAcentral is "partial 16S ribosomal RNA". It matches the Rfam family "Bacterial small subunit ribosomal RNA", at positions 30 to 526 of the family's 1533-position model. The record is from RNAcentral.